Molecule: long non-coding RNA, 885 nt
Filed under: Salmo salar (Atlantic salmon)
Lineage: Eukaryota; Metazoa; Chordata; Actinopteri; Salmoniformes; Salmonidae
Description: lncRNA (ENSSSAG00000105851.1)
Source: RNAcentral
GUUAGAGUUAGGAGGUGUUACUGAACAGACAGACAGACAGGUUAGGAGGUGUUACUAUACAGACAGACAGACAGGCAGGCAGAAAGACAGGUUAGAGUUAGGAGGUGUUAAUGUACAGACAGACAGACAGGUUAGGAGGUGUUACUAUACAGACAGACAGACAGACAAACAGACAGACAGGUUAGGGUUAGGAGGUGUUACUGAACAGACAGACAGACAGACAGGUUAGGAGGUGUUACUAUACAGACAGACAGACAGACAGGCAGACAGACAGGUUAGAGUUAGGAGGUGUUACUGUACAGACAGACAGACAGGUUAGGGUUAGGAGGUGUUACUGUACAGACAGACAGACAGGUUAGGGUUAGGAGGUGUUACUAUACAGACAGACAGACAGAGACAGACAGACAGGUUAGGGUUAGGAGGUGUUACUAUACAGACAGACAGACAGAGACAGACAGACAGGUUAGGGUUAGGAGGUGUUACUAGACAGACAGACAGACAGACAGACAGGUUAGAGUUAAGAGGUGUUACUGAACAGACAGACAGACAGACAGGUUAGGGUUAGGAGGUGUUACUAUACAGACAGACAGACAGGUUAGGGUUAGGAGGUGUUACUGGACAGACAGACAGACAGACAGGUUAGGGUUAGGAGGUGUUACUAGACAGACAGACAGGUUAGGGUUAGGAGGUGUUACUAUACAGACAGACAGACAGGUUAGGGUUAGGAGAUGUUACUAGACAGACAGACAGGUUAGAGUUAGGAGGUGUUACUGAAAAGACAGACAGACAGACAGGUUAGGAGGUGUUACUAUACAGACAGACAGACAGACAGGCAGACAGACAGGUUAGGGUUAGGAGGUGUUACUAUACAGACAGACAGUCAGG